AAGACCCCGUGAACCUUUACUAUAGCUUGACACUGAACAUUGAGCCUUGAUGUGUAGGAUAGGUGGGAGGCUUUGAAGUGUGGACGCCAGUCUGCAUGGAGCCGACCUUGAAAUACCACCCUUUAAUGUUUGAUGUUCUAACGUUGGCCCGUUAUCCGGGUUGCGGACAGUGUCUGGUGGGUAGUUUGACUGGGGCGGUCUCCUCCUAAAGAGUAACGGAGGAGCACGAAGGUUGGCUAAUCCUGGUCGGACAUCAGGAGGUUAGUGCAAUGGCAUAAGCCAGCUUGACUGCGAGCGUG
Molecule: ribosomal RNA, 299 nt
Filed under: Escherichia coli
Lineage: Bacteria; Pseudomonadati; Pseudomonadota; Gammaproteobacteria; Enterobacterales; Enterobacteriaceae
Description: partial 23S ribosomal RNA
Rfam family: Bacterial large subunit ribosomal RNA
Source: RNAcentral